Molecule: ribosomal RNA, 506 nt
Filed under: uncultured bacterium
Lineage: Bacteria
Description: bacterial SSU rRNA
Rfam family: Bacterial small subunit ribosomal RNA
Source: RNAcentral
GCUGGCGGCGUGCUUAACACAUGCAAGUCGAACGAGAGGACAAGAGAAGCUUGCUUCUUUUGGAAUCGAGUGGCAAACGGGUGAGUAACACGUAAACAACCUGCCUUCAGGAUGGGGACAACAGACGGAAACGACUGCUAAUACCGAAUACGCUUGGGAGACCGCAUGAUCUACCAAGGAAAGGGUGGCCUCUACCUGUAAGCUAUCGCCUGAAGAGGGGUUUGCGUCUGAUUAGGCAGUUGGUGAGGUAACGGCCCACCAAACCUACGAUCAGUAGCCGGUCUGAGAGGAUGAACGGCCACACUGGAACUGAGACACGGUCCAGACUCCUACGGGAGGCAGCAGUGGGGAAUCUUCCGCAAUGGGCGAAAGCCUGACGGAGCAACGCCGCGUAAGUGAUGACGGCCUUCGGGUUGUAAAGCUCUGUGAUCGGGGACGAACGGUCCGUAAGCUAAUACCUUAUGGAAGUGACGGUACCCGAAUAGCAAGCCACGGCUAACUACGUG